Long non-coding RNA from Tympanuchus pallidicinctus (lesser prairie-chicken), 438 nucleotides. RefSeq lists it as uncharacterized. The transcript is spliced from 3 exons. The record is from RefSeq and is a predicted model, not a curated record. Lineage: Eukaryota; Metazoa; Chordata; Aves; Galliformes; Phasianidae.
ACAGGGAUUUCUAUGAAAAUCAGCGAUAUUUUAGGGGAAAAACAGGGAUUUCUAUGAAAAUCAGCGAUAUUUUAGGGGAAAAUCAGGGAUUUCUAUGAAAAUAAGCGAUAUUUUAGGUUAAAAACAGGGAUUUCUAUGAAAAUAAGCGAUAUUUUAGGGGAAAAACAGGGAUUUCUAUGAAAAUAAGCGAUAUUUUAGGGGAAAAACAGGGAUUUCUAUGAAAAUAAGCGAUAUUUUAGGGGAAAAACAGGGAUUUCUAUGAAAAUAAGGGAUAUUUUAGGGAAAAACAGGGAUUUCCAUGAAAAUAAGCGAUAUUUUAGGGGAAAAACAGGGAUUUCCAUGAAAAUAAGGGAUAUUUUAGGGUUAAAAACAGGGAUUUCCAUGAAAAUAAGGGAUAUUUUAGGGGAAAAUCAGGGAUUUCCAUGAAAAUAAGCGAUA